GCCGCGUUGGCGCAAUGGUAGCGCAUCCGCCUCCUAUUCCAUCUCGGAGAUACAGGACAGCGGGAGGUUGUGGGUUCGAGCCCCAUGCGUGGUU
Non-coding RNA from Plectosphaerella cucumerina, 94 nucleotides. The record is from the annotation of a GenBank genome assembly. Lineage: Eukaryota; Fungi; Ascomycota; Sordariomycetes; Glomerellales; Plectosphaerellaceae.